Oncorhynchus tshawytscha (Chinook salmon) is the source of this 780-nucleotide long non-coding RNA. The record is from Ensembl. Lineage: Eukaryota; Metazoa; Chordata; Actinopteri; Salmoniformes; Salmonidae.
UGCCAACAGUAUAGCAAUUGAGGAGGAACAGCCAAAGCCAGGCUUGAACCAGGAACCCGGUAGUUAUAUGGUCAAGCACCUCCUGAUGUAAUCAACACUCCCCACACAAGGUCUGGUAGGGCCAUCCGAAGACCUAUUAACCUGAAAGACUGUGUGAAGUGGAAGAAGUGGAUGGAAGAUUCUCAGGACACAGUACACCUAGGCCAGGAAGGAGGCACCCUCAGGUAGUGCUGGUGGAAGGGCUAUAGGAAGACACAUCUCCAUCCUUCAGCACUUUCUGGAGCCCCAUACUGCAUAAUGGAUGAGGCCCAUCCAGCAACAGGCGGUACAGCCUGCAUUUCCCCCCUCAUAUGAAGCCAAACACCAGUCAGCAAAACCACAAUAACUCGUGGGUUGGGAUGGCUCCUUGUACAAGCACCCGAAGGCACAAUGACGAGGAGGAAGAUUAGUUUGGGAAGGUAGAGGACCAUGACUCUCUCAGCACCAUUUAGAAGGCCCUGGAUAAAUUCUGCCAUGCUGAUGAGGAUGGUUCCUUUUGGCUGAUCCCUGGAGUGAAGAACACAAAGCCUUUUACCAACAGCUGGUGGAUGAGAUUGGGGCACACUGCCAGAUGAUGCACCAACAACAGUAGCUAGUGAACCAGCAGCUGCCCCUAUCUCCAUGUAAUGAAAUCACCAUCAAUAUUGCACAGACCAUUUUGUUUUCUUCAUCUUAUUGCAUGUUUAUAUACACGUUCCCUUUGUUUCAUUACAAGGGGUUAUGCUUUUUUUUCAUUAUUUG